GUGUUUGAAUUUUCGACCUGAACUCAGACGUGAGUACCCGCUGAACUUAAGCAUAU
Molecule: ribosomal RNA, 56 nt
Filed under: Heterodera filipjevi
Lineage: Eukaryota; Metazoa; Nematoda; Chromadorea; Rhabditida; Heteroderidae
Description: partial 28S ribosomal RNA
Source: RNAcentral